Long non-coding RNA from Homo sapiens (human), 16888 nucleotides. RefSeq lists it as uncharacterized. NCBI's taxonomy places the organism in Eukaryota, Metazoa, Chordata, Mammalia, Primates, Hominidae. The transcript has 4 exons. The record is from RefSeq and is a predicted model, not a curated record.
UGGCUGUUAACAGAAAGGCUGGUGGUCCGAGCCCAACCAGGGACUCCUCGCUUUGUUGUUUUAACCCAUUUCUGUUGAUAUACAAUCAACUCCAGCCUAAUCAGGAGACACACAUGUCCUCUUCCCCACCUUCUUAGGUCUGAGGCUUGGCAAGGCCCAUGGUGCCUUGUACCUGUCAAACUCAAGAAUCCCAGAGACCUUAGACAGGAACUCACUUCUGGUGUGAUAAAAAUGUUCUUUGCUCCCAUGGAAGACUUGGGGGAGUAAAGUGCCUCUAGUUUUUCAUGUUUAAUAAUAGGAGACCUAUUACAGUAGUAUUCUGUCCCCGGAUGUGCCUGGGUUUAAGUAAUUCCUCUAUCAAUAAUGUGACCAGUGGAAUCAGUCAUCCUCAUGGUGAUCCUCGCCAUUGUUUGUGAAAACAGCAUUUCUUCCUCUGUUUGUGCAUGAUUUAACCCUUUUCAAGAUGUUUUUGAAAUGAGGUGGGUUUCAUGGCUUUAGGAUUACAAAUGAUGCCGCAAUCUCCACUAUUCUUGUACACAUAUCUUUGGACACUUGUGCAGAUAUUUCUAUAGUGUAGAGAGGAGGAUGUGCCAUUUUUACAUUACAACAUUUAUUUAAUGCUUCUAAUUUGAGUACAUUCUGCAAAUUUAUCUUCCGUGGGAGCGAUACCAAAUCAUAUUCCAAUUUGUUUCCCAAUUCUAUCAAUGUCCCUUCUGUCAUUUACUUGCCGGCACAACAAACGUUUCUACACAUUGAUGUAUGAUAUUCCACUGAGAAGAGAGGCAUCCUCCUGGCUUAACUGAGGGGGUGUACAACCGAAGGAAAUGGUGGACAUUACGCACAGAUAUUCUGCGGCUUAGGAUGAGCUGCUAAACUUCUAGGAUGUUUUAAAGUCCUCCAAUAUCUGUAAUUGUUUUCUGUGGUGACCAAGUCACGUGGGUCCGGAGAAGAUGGGCCACAGUGACCUCUUUGUCAGCUUUCUGCCAAGUCGCUUAUACAAGGGGAGCAAAAUCACAAAGGUCCCAGAUAAUUUUUUCUUCUCCCCUUUCCUCUUUUCUUCAUAAAUCUUGGUUUUGCUUUUGUUUGACCAAACCAAUGUAAUGCCCAUUCUCCCUCCUAUACAGUGGUAAAUUAACAUGCAAAUAGCUAUCCCUUUAUUAUUCUUUGAUAGAUUUCUGCUGUGGCUAUGUCCAUAAAAAUUAGCCCAUUUGCGAUACAUCAUUGGAGCCAACAGAACCCUGCACCCAACAGGCACCUUGUGCAGACCUGGACCCUUAGAGCUAUUGGCUCAUGUUCCUUCGGUUCUUCUACUGAAUAUCAUGAGUAGAAACUGAGCUCUUUGGCUUUUACCCACUACUCUGGCUAUAGUACAUUUUUUCUCUCUCCUCUUUCUCAUUUUUGUAUCAUGAUUUUCUGCCAUCAGUGGCAUCAGUGUGGAUUUCUGGUUUUGAUGUUAUUGAGUGAACUUCUGGGAUUGUUUUAUGGCUGUAUAACAGUCAGUAUUAAAUCCUUCUGUUGAUGAAGAUUUGUGUUAUUCCCAGUUUUUCCUUAGUAGAAAAAUGAGGUUAAUAAGAACAUUUUUGGAUGUAUUGUUCAUUUAAUGGGGGUAAUCAAUAAAGGUAAGUGUGCUUCCUUUUCAGGUAGGCUUAACUCGAUGAGAAACUACCAAUUAUUAGAACAGCUGUUGUGCUAAAUUGCAGUCCAACUAACAUCACACAGCAAUAUCAUACACACUCUGUAUGAGGAAGUGGGAGAGGCAACAACUUUCAAAAUCAGUUUUUCUAUGUUUCCUUUCAUUUUCUAGUGAACCCUUAAUGGCAUCUUUGAAGGUGGCUAUGGUCACACCAAGUGUCACCACCAGCCUAUUCAAGUCCUGCCUCAGAGCCAUGGAGUGAUACACCAGGGCAGCCCAGCCAAGUCUCGGGCUCAUAAAUACCAGGCAGUAAUAGAUGCCUAUGAAAUGAGAAGGGUCAGAUGAUUCCUCCCUCUCCCAUCAUGUCUGUGCCUCUCUUUGCAGCUGCCGUGCCGCUAAAAACAAUUGGUCACACUUAUUUUGUCAAAGAUAAAGUCAGACAUUAGUCAAAGCUGUGAAAACAGAUUUUCUUCAGUAACUAUUGACCAUAGAGGAAGGGGCUGAGCUCCAUCGCAUUUGUGCAGAGGUGAUGGCAUUCUAAACAGAGAGUGAGGCAGGGGAGAGGGCACAGCACAAGUGAAACAUUACAAAAGAUUAGUCAUUGUAAGCUUCUGCCUCAUCAAGACAGCUGUGUCUGCCAGCUGGCAAUAUUAGACAUUAGGAUUCUAACCUCCCACAGAGACCGGAAGACAGAGACUCAGUCCUUCCUGAGGACUAUACCUCAAAGGAAUGGCUUUCAGAUCCUGGGAAAAGACACACUGGAGUCCCUAGGAGAUACACACAUAUCUCAAAGGGAUGGAGGAAGGAUUCCCUUCUUAGUAAGUGCUAUAAGAAGGAACCUACCAUCAUCAGCAGGUACUGGCUAGAACUAAAGUAAGUUCCCCUGGCAGCCUUGAGCUUUCUUAGGCAGGCAUUGCCAUGGGAGCCGAGGGUCAUACACAGGAUAUGGUCUUAUGCUAUUAGAAGUCAUGAUAGAGUCUGAUCAACUCUUAGCACAGAGGUUUAAACUGAGUCUUUGUGUGCUGAGUUUGGUUGUUCUCAUUUUCCAUUCCCCCAUCCCAUGGUCAAGAUUUUACUGGACUCUGAUAGAUGGACAAGGCCACGGGCCAUUUUCAGUGACAUUCCAGCAGCCUAGGCAUAUCUAUUGAGAUCUAAAUGAAAACAAAGAAAACCGUGAGAUUGGGAGUGGGCCCCAAAAUAGGUAUGCAUUACCGAUAUUCGGGAGAUAAAAAUAUAUCUAGGCCUUGUCAAAAUGGAAAGUGACUUAUGCAGCCAAGAUGAAAUUCAAACUUACAUUUUCAAAGUAUAUAGCCUGUUGAUAUUUUGUAUAAGAAAGCCAUGGCAAAAUGACAAUCCACAAGUGGCAAUGGUAUGUAUGGGUAGGGAGAGACUUCAUAAGGUAAAAAUUAUCCUCACUUUAAAUGAAACUCCUAUGUGUUGCUACAGUAAGGGAACAGAAGCCAAUGUUACGCUGGAGUAUAUUAAUUGUCAUGGGAUAAACAGGCAGGACAUGAUGCUACAUUUAUUAGUAACUUCUAUUGAGAGUUUUUGUGAAGGUUAAUUUUUGUGGCAAUUUGACUGGGCCAGAGGGUGCCCAGAUAUUUGGUUAGACAUGAUUUCUCACUGUGUCUCUGAGGGUGUUCCUGGAAGAGAUUGACAUUUCAAUCAGUAAACUCAGUGAAGCAGAUUGCCCUCCUGGGUGUGAGUGGACCUCAUCCAACCCAUGGACGGCUUGAAUAGGAUGAAGGGUUAAGAAAGAAGUUUUUCUUCUCCACUGUCUUUGAGCUAGGACAUCAAUCUUCUGCCUUAAGUCUUGGACUUGGUCUUGAACUAUAUUUGACUCUCCUCGGUCUAGAGCUUACUCAGAGUAGAACUUGGGCUUCUCUGCUUCUGUGUGUGUGUGUGUGUGUGUGUGUGUGUAUGUGUGUGUGUGUAUCCUGCUCAUUUCUUUCUCUGGAGGACUAAGACUAAUAUAGUAUUAUAUGCCAGUUGCCAGUUUUUGUCUUUAUUCUUUUGAAAGGUGUAAAAUAAAUAAAUAAAACAAAACCCUGGACGGUUCUCAAAGAAGAACAGUAAGGAUUACUAGAAGUUUUAAACUUUUAGGAAAAGCCCUAAGAACAGCUUUUGUUAAAACAGUCUUCAAGAAAAUAAAGGGUGUUGGGAAAAAUAUUGUUGCCUUAAUGUUUUUAAGCAAAGGCAUGAUCAGUCAAGGAGAAAUAUACUUAGGAUUUUUUUAAGUUAAUUUUUACAUUUUAAUAAUUCACAUACAAUCUUAAGAACUCAGAGAGAAAAAGAGAGGUCCCUUGUACACUUUACUCAGUUUCCUCCAAUGGUAACAUCUUGGUAAUAUUUCCAAAAUGGUAAUUUUUGCAAAUACUGCAAAUGUAUUGCAAAUGCCACAGUACCAGGAGAUUGACAUUGAUACAAGCAAGGUACAGAACAUUUCCAUCAACACUGCAAUUCCUCAUGUUGCCCUUUUAUAGCCGUGAACCUGUCUCUCCAGUGCUGCUCCUCCUUCCCUCCUUAAUUCCUGGCCGCUAUUAAUCUAUUCCCCAUUCAUAUAAUUUAUUCAUUUCAAGAAUGUUACGUAAGUGGAAUCCUACAUGUCACCUUUGGGAUUACCCUUUGUCCACUCAACAUAAUUCUGUGGAGAUUCAUCCAGGUUAUUGUGGCUAUCAAUAAUUUGUUGUUUUUUAAAAAAAAUUAUUGAGGACUAUGCGAUGCUAUGGAUAUAUAACACAAUUUGUUUAACCAUUCACCUCAUGAAAGUCAUCUAUACAUUUUUUCCUCAAUUUUGGCUAUUAAAAACAAGGCUGCUAUAAACUUUAAGUACAUGGAUUUUGUGUGAACAUAAGAUUCUAUUCCUCUGUGAUAAAUGCAUGGAAUACAAUUCCUAGGUGGUAUGGUAGUUGCACAUAUAGUUUUAAAAGUAAAAACUAUACAGAUAUUCUCCAGAGUGGGCUGUAACCAUUUAGAUUUCCACCAGCAAUGUAUGAGUGAUCCAGCUUUCUCUGAAUCCUUGACAGCACUUGAUGUGGUUACGCUUUUCUUUUGGCCAUUCUGAUAGGUAUGCAGCAAUUUCUCAUUGUGAUUUUAAUUGGUAUAUCACUAGUUGCUACUAAUGUUCUGAUUUUAACAUAUGAAUUUGGGGUGGCUGGGCACAAUGCAUCCCAUAACAAUGUGUAUUCUGGUGUGGCUGAGUGUUCUAAAAUUGUCAAUGGAAGUCCCGCUGGUUGAUCAUGCUGUUGGGUUCUUCUAUAUUCUUGUUGAUUUUCUGUCUGGUUAUUGCAUAAAUUGUUGAGAAAGGGGGACGUUGAAGCAUAUAGCUAUAUUUGUGGAUUUGUCUAGUUCACUGUUCAGUAAUUUCAAUUGUUGUUGCAUAGACAUUUAUGACUUUUGUCAGGGGAGGAGUUGGUGGAUUGGUUGUUUCCUCAUUAUAUAUUGUCCCUCUCUGUCUCUGAUUAGUUUCUUUAUUCUGAAAUAUACUAUAUCUGACAUUAAUAUAACCAGUCUUGCUCUCCUUUGUCUAAGGUUUGCAUGAUACAUCUUUUCCCAUCCUUUGGAUUUCAACUUGCCUGUAUCAUCAUAUUUGAAGGUAGUCUCUUUGUAGCCAGGAUGUAGUUGUGUCGCGUCCAUUAACCUACUCUGCCAAUCUGUGUCUUGUAAUUGGUAUAUUUAGAUCAUUGAUAUUUAAUACGAUGAUUGAUAGGGUAGGGCUUAAGCCUGCCAUUAUAUUUUUCCUUUUGUGUUUGUUCUCUCUGGUGUCGUUUUCUGGAUAUGCUUUCUUUUCCUUACCUUCCUAAGGUGACUUGAACAUUUUUCAGAAUGGUGUUUUGCCUUACCCAUAGUGUUUUUGAGUAUAUCUGUUUGCAUAGCCCUCUUAGUUUUUCCAGACAUUCAUAUGUCUGUGCAUCUCUAUCUUACCACACAGUAUACUGGUGUCAUUGUUGUACCAGUGUGAAUGAAUGAUAGAUGAGUUACCUCCCUUGUAGGUCUCUUUACCCUCCCAGUUUAUAAUUAUUUCAAAGAUUUUUUUUUACAGAGAGUUAGAACCACAUCAAAUGAUGGUAUGAUUUUUUUCUGAAGCUGUCAAUCGUAGUUUAGAAAACUCAAGAGAAGAAGGAAGGCCUAUUUUGCUUGCUGUUUGUUUGUUUUUUUUUUAAUUUUCUUUCUGAUGUCCCAAGGUUCCUUCUUUAAUCAUUUCCUUUCUGUCUAGAGAACUCCCUUUAGCCUUUCUUUUAAGGUAGAACUGCUGGUCAGAGAUUCCCUUAGCUUUUCUUAAUCUGAAACUGUUUUGAUCUUCCCCUUAAUCCCUGAAAGAUGUUUCUGCUGGAGAGAGGAGUCUGGGUUGACAAUUGUUUUCUUUCAUGGCUUGAAAAGCACCUGGCAACUUCAUUGUACCUCCAUGGUUUCUCAUGAGAAAUAGAUCAUCCCCAGAAUUGUUUUACCUUUCUAGGUAAGGUGUCACCUUUCUGUGUUGCUUUCAAGAUAUUCUCUUUGUCUUUCAUUUCCAACAUUUUAUUUUUUCAUGUGGCUUGCCAUAGACCUCUUUGGGUUUUAUUCUAUUUGGGGUUCUCACAGCUUCUUGAACCUGUAGGUUUCUGUCUCUUGCCAACUCUGGGAAGCUUUUAGCCAUUUACUUCUUUAUGUUUGCAGCCUUGUCCUCUUCCUCUUCCUCUUCCCCUUCCAGACAUAAAUAACAACAUGAAAGUGAGACCUUCUGAGGUAGUUUCACAGAGGUUCUGCUUACCUUCUCACCCAGUCUGUUUUUUCCUUGUUAAGAUUGUGCAAUAUCUAUUUUUUCAUCUGUAGUGGAUGGAUUUCUUUGCUCUGCACCAUCCAUUCUGCUGUUGAGCCUAUGUGUUGGACUUUUUAUUUUGGUUGUUGUAUUUUCCACCUCUAAUACUUCCAUUUGGUUCUCCUUUAAGUCUUGUAUUUAUUUGCUAAGGCUUUCUAUUUGUCCAUUGUUUUGAAUGUGCUCAUAAUUACUAAAUCAUUUUCAUCAGGCUUGCUGGCUUUAAAAUCUUUGUCAGACAAUCCCAACACCUCUCUCAUCUUAUUGCCAGUGUGUAUCGGCUGUCUAUUUUCAUUCGGCAUAAGAUUUUCCUGCUUCUUGCUAUGAUGAAGGAUUUUCAACUGAAACUUGGACUUUUGGGUAUUAUGUUACCAGACUCUCGAUUUUAUUGAAACCUUCUGUUUUAACUACCUUUUUCUGAGUCUGCUUCUGCAGGGGAAGGGGAGUGGCACCAUCUCGUUGAAGCCAGGUGUGUGUAGAAAUCCAGGUUUCUCACCUGACCUACCUCUGUUGACAACCUGAGUGGAGGGCCCUCGAGGAAAGAGCGCGCGGAUGAGGCCCCUUGGCUUGGAGCCUCUCGGCUUGGCAGCCCUGGAGGCUUGGCAGCCCUGGAGGGGUGGCGUCCACACUCUUGCGCACCCGGGACUCGGAAGCUCAAAACCCGCCGGCUGCUGCCGCUUCUGCGAGCCGGAGAGUGUUAGCCAGGCGAAUCCCGCACAUGGGCGCUUAGUUCUGGAACUGGAUACCCCGCGGGAAGAAUCCGGAUCCUGUAGCCCGGUUAUGGGUCUCCAGUGUCUUCAUUUCGGGAGAAAGCGGGGAACCCUCAGACCGGGCCUAUUGCGAUCAGCAGUCUUCUUACCUGAGGGAUCGCAGGUGCUUUCCGGGGCCUUUUGCUAGCACUUUCCUGGGGCCGCGGGAAUGUCCAGAUGCAGUCGAAUUUCAUCUGUCACAGGCAGCAAUACGCAGUUGCCCAAGGCGGCGCCUAACAUUUUCGUGGGUUUGUCCUCAAGGGGCGGUGCUCGGGUCGUUUAGCUAGAGUGGGGUCAGCAGGUUCGCCUCUCACACGAAAGGUGGCUUUCAUAAUGACCUUUUCUUUUUCUGUUUUUUUAAGGGAGGGGAGGGGAGCUGAGGGGUGGGAUGGGGGAAACUAGCUGCAUCUUUGAUCACAAGAAGUACGGGAGGAGUUCCAUUACUACCUGAAACCCCGCUGAGCACAAGGAACCAGGCCUGGUUUGCCCGCCAUGAGUUGGAUCCGUGAGUUGGAUCGGGAGACAAGGGCGCCAGAUGAGGUGGACUUCAUGUUAGCUUUAGAUCCAGAAAUUUCCAGUCUUCUCAUCUAUCGCCAAAAUCUUCUUUCUGAAGAUUUCAAGAUGACAGCUACAAUGUCUCUGAAACCAAGGAGGUCUUUCCUGUGAAGCCCACUUGGCUUCCUCGCGCCCCGAGGACAGUGGCGGAACCGGUCGAAUUGUGUGGCGGAACAAAAGAAAAUGAACGUAAAUCUGCACCUGGAGCUCGAGCCAAAGACCCAUCCAUUCAGUUUCAUGCUCUACUAAUUGAGCUAGUUGGGGGCAAAAGGGGACCCCUACACAUGUCUUUAUUGGUAGAGCCCCUUGCGCCAGUUCAGAGAUCAGGAAGCAGAGGGAUUCGGCUCACAAUGAGAGCCAAGUCCGCACUUCGGUGGCAAGGAAACUGAGGCUCGGAAACAGAGCAAGUGCUUGGCUCUGCCUCACACCUUGCUACAGCUAGGCUAGAAUGGAACACCUGCUCAGUUUCCUUGUGGCCUGUCCUCAAUACAGCCCAAAGCAGCGGCCAGGCUGGCAGAGGCGAGAGGUGUUGAGUAGCUGCUCAGUGACUGCCUGGAGCCCUGCAGUCCUGCAGCCCGCUUGGGUCACAGACAGCCACUUUCAGUUGGCCGCUCCAUCUCUUAGAAAGUUCAUCUUUCUUUACCUUCUCUUUUUUCCUCUGAAAAGGAGAUGGUUGUGUGGGUCAGCUUCCUUGGUGGUCUAGUGGCUAGGAUUCGGUGCUUUCACCCGUGCGGCCCGGGUUCAAUUCCCGAUGAAGGAAUACAUUUUGUAACAUCCCCAAAUUGUGUGUGAAGAUUUGAUAGAGAAACACACAGGUGAUGAUUAAAAUGCAGAAAUAUGUUCCCAGCAGCAAUAUUUGUAAUAAAGAACAGCAAUAUUGUAAUAAUAAAUGUUCACCAAUUAGGAAAUGUUAUAUGUUGUGAUCACUCCAUACCCUAAAAGGAUAUGCAAUUAUUUCAAAGAUGGAUGUAGAUAAUAAUAGCCGUGAUGAGGCCACCGAUGAUAAUGGUUAAUGCUCUUGGAGCAUUUACUAUGCCUCAGGGCAUGGGUUCAAUGUUUUACUGCCCUGUCUUAUUUAAACUUGGAACAACCCAUUUAGAAACGCAUUCCUAUUGGGCCCAUUUUAGAAUGCAGAAAUGGAGGCACAGAAAACCUGUGACUUCAGAGUCACACCGCCAAGGAAUAAGGCUAUCUGCUCGCGUCUACGGCUUCAUGGACAGAAGUGUCCAAGGUUCUCUUGUUCUUCUGCUAGGGAUUGCCAUCUUCUCAGAGAUGGGCAGCCUGAAGAAUCAGCGAAGGCAGGUGCAACGAGGAUGGAGGUACAGAAAGGAGGUGUAUAUUGGGCUUGGGGUAGGUAGAUUCUGGAGCUCCAGAACUGAGCUUUUGCCUAAAAUGCACCUUUUGCGAACAGCAUUUAUUUUUCUAACAAACCCCUAAGCCUUCAGGCAGGAUUUUCAUCAUCUAACUUGAAGCAGAUGGGCAUCAAAGACCCCAUAUAUCUGGACGUGGAAGAAUGAAGGUCAGAAAAGAAUAGUUACAAGGUUAACUAUGCUCCUGCAUGGAACAGGAUGAGUAGUCUUUAGUUUUUUGCCGAUGACUGCCCUAAUUGCUCCACAAUGAGGCACGUUGUGCCUGGAAGUCUGACGACAUCUGCCUCAGACAUCUGUCUAUUAUUAAAUGCCCCCAUCCCCAGGCUGCGCAUCUAGAUGCCUGAGGGCGUAGUGACAUGGAGGCCAGAAGUUGUGUGGUUGGGUACAUUGUUACCAGGCAGUGUGAGUGGGGGCAAGAUGCAGGAAUGCCAGAUCCAGGACAUUCUCCCUGGCCCACACUGCCUCUUGUGCUUCCCCUAUCAGAAGCGGCCCCACUGCACAUGACCACAGUAGCCUCUUGGUCUGAAGUCACCCACUUCCCCUUCCUUCACUGUGCUUCAUUUGUCAUGCUCACUGCUCGUGUCCCCUGUCCCUGAACGGGGAAACGCUCGUGGGGAGGACACAAGCCGGUUGUGUUCCCACUGCCCAGUCUCUUCUUGAGGCCUCUAGAUGUGGGCUCUGUAAGGCAGGAUUGGCACACCAUGCAGCUACUCACCUAGAGAAAGGAUUCACACCUAGUGAGCACCCAAUAUAUGCUCAGUGAAUGAAGGCAUUCCAAUGUCGGUUUCUGAGAGACAUCAAGAAUUCUACUGGACUUCCCACUUUUAGUCCUUUGAAUAAUUGGGGUAAUGGGAAGAUAGAAAAAGCUUUUCAAACCUGGGUGUUCUUUGUAAGGUUUAUUCCAAGUCUAGAGGGCACCUUCUGGAAUGAGCUCCCCUCUCUGUAAGGGGAAACACCUUCAGUCUGUGGGACUCUGUAGGUAGAGAGGAAGCUGAACCCUGAACAUUGAAGAGGAGGAGAAGAAAGUGGGUAAUACUGGGGGCAGCCUGGAGUAUGAGAGACAGACAGACAAGACACAGGCACACAGACACAGAUGGAGAGGUUGGAAAGGCAGGGCUGGAUCAAGGAGGAGUUGGGAAGCAAAAGGACCUAUAUGUCCAAGAGCCAGAUUUAGGGUGUAAAAGUUGGAGUUCAGUUUUGCUGAAGAGAGUCAACAAAAGAACCAAGGCAAAGGGGGCCAAUAACUCCAAGGAUCCAGGUCUGCAUAAGAAGCAUGGUCAGGUGCAGGAUCCUAUGGCUCCAGAGAUUUGUCUCCAGUGAGAUGAGUCUCACAAAAAAUCAAAACAAAACAAACACUGUCAAGGAAGGAAUAACACAGAGGUAGUUUUUAGCAUGCUAAUUCACCCUUGUCUAGGAGGGAGAACAGUCCAUAGAUCGUUUGCAUUCAACAAAAGCAGAAUGCAAUUCAUAAAGAAAUGAGAAGAGGAACAAAUUUCUAGAAGAAGCCAUUCUUUCCCCUCCUAUUUGAUAAGCCUCUUGACAGGAAGCAGCUCAGGGUCCCUCCAGCCAGUUUUCUCUGGACUUAGUUAGGUAGAUCACCAGAGAAAACAAUUACAAUUAUUGGAAGACUUUCUAAACAUCUUGGAGGUUUAGCUGUGGAACACUUAUCAGAGAGUAUCUCUGGGCAGUGUCCACCAUGUCUUUCUGCUGCGCCUCCUGCUUAGGUAAGUCAGGCAGGGCACCACCCCGUCACUGGUACAUCAGACUGGUGUGUGGAAACUUUGCUGAGCUGCCAAGAGCACGAAGGAAAAGGCUGUCUCACUGAGUUGGAAAAAUAUGUUGGAAGAUAAAUUGGCACACCUCCUGUUGAAGUCAAACUAAGAACACGUAAACAGAUGCCUUCAGCUCCCAGCAAAGUUUGAGUAACAGAUGCCUGAUUUACUCUCCUGCCUGAAAUCUCCCCACUGCUCCUCUCCACAAACAAACAGGUGCCUGUAAUGCCAGCAGUUUGGGAGGCCGGGGUGGGCUGAUCCCUUGAGCUCAGGAGUUUCAGACCAGACUGGGCAACAUGAUGAAACCUCAUCUCUACCAAAAAAAUUUCAAAUAAUUAGCCAGGCAUGGUGGUGUGUGCCUGUAGUCCCAGCUAGUCAGGAGGUUGCAGUGGGACGAUCGUUUCACCCUGAGAGGCAGAGGUUGCAGUGAGCCAAGAUUACAUCACUGAAGUCCAGCUUGGGCUACAGGGUGAGACCCUGUCUCAUGAAAGGAAGGAAGGAAGGAAGGAAGGAAGGGAGGAAGGAAGGAAGGAAGGAAGGGGCCAGGUGCACUGGCUCACAACUGUAAUCCUAGGACUUUGGGAGUCUGAAUCCGGCAGAUCACAAAGUCAGGAGAUGAAGAUGAUCCUGGCUAACAUGGUGAAACCCCUGUCUCUACUCAAAAUACAAAACAUUGGCCGGGUAUCGUGGCACAUGCCUAUAGUACCAACUACUUGGGAGGCUGAAGCAGGAGAAUCACUUGAGCCAGGCAGGCAGAGGUUGCAGUGAGCCCAAAUCAUGCCAAAACCACACUAUCAGAGAUGGUAAAGUCGUUGGAUGGGAUUAACAGCAGAUUAGAUGUUGCAGAAGAAAUGAUCAGGGAACAUGGAACCAUGAAUAAUUGAAAAUAUGCAAAAUGAAACUUACAGAAAAAAGAAAUUUUUUUAAAUGAAAAGAUUAUCACUGAACUGUAGGGCAGACUUAAGAGGUCUAAUUUAUGAGUAAUGGGAGUCCCUGAGAAGGAGCAGGGAGGAAAGGAAACAUUUAUUUUCUUUCUUUGUUAUUUUUCUUAGGAAUGGGGUCUCAGUAUGUUGAGACCCAGGCUGGUCUUGAAUUUCAGGCCUCACUCAACACCUCCCGACUUGGCCUCCCAAAGGCGUGAGCCACUGUGCCCAGCCAAUUUCUGAAGAAAAAUAGCUGGAAAGUUCCCAAUCAUAACAAAAAUUAUAAAUCCAGUGACCCAAGGAACUGAGGAAACAAAAGCACAAGAAACAUGAAGAAAACCACUCCUAGAUACCUCAUAAUAACAUUGCUCAAAUCUGGCCAGAAGAAAAAGACAUUGUACAUACACAGGAGCAAAGAUGAGGAUUGCAUCAGCUUCCUUUCUGCUCUUGCCGGCCUCUACCAGGAGCAGCAAUGCACACGAGCAGACAGAGAAGCAACAUCUUUAAGGUACUGAGGGCAGGGGAAGUUAACCUAGAAUACUAUGCCAGAAAAAAUAAAUUCCCAAAACUGGAAGUGAAAUAAGGACAUUUAGGCCAGGCACGGUGGCUCAAGCCUGUAAUCCCCAGCACUUAGGGAGGCCGAGGUGGGUGGAUCACAAGGUCAGGAGAUUGAGACUAUCCUGGCUAACACGGUGAAACCCCGCCUCUACUAAAAAUACAAAAAAAUAGCCGGGCAUGGUGGCGGGUGCCUGUAAUCCCAGCUACUGGGGAGGCUGAGGCAGGAGAAUGGUGUGAACCUGGGAGGUGGAGUUUGCAGUGAGCCGAGAUCGCCCCACUGCACUCCAGCCUGGGCGACAGAGCGAGACUCCAUCUCAAAAAAAAAAAAAAAAAAAAAAAAAAUGACAUUUAGAGAUGUACAAAAGCUGACCGAAUUCACUAGCAGCCAGCUGAGCCACACUACAAAAACCGUGAAAGGAGUCCUCCAGGCAGAAGGAACCCAAUACCAGACAAAAAUCCAGAUCUUCAUUUCCAGAGGAAAUGAAGAACACCAGAAAUGGGUAACUAUAAUAGGUAUUUUCUUAUUUUGUAAAUUUCUUUUGUGAAAAUUUGACCAUUUAAACAAAAGCAACAAUGGGUUGUGGGGUUUAUAACAUGCCCAAAGGUAAAGUGCAUGUCAGCAAUAGCAUCAAGGCCAGAAGGCGAGGUAUAACAUCACUUGAAGGUUGACUGUGAUAAGUUAAAAAGGUUGGCUAUAAGCCCUAAGGCAAUUACUAAAAUAACAAAUGAAAGAGUUAUAGCUAAUAAGCCAAAAGAGGAGAGAGAAUGGAAUGAUAUAAAAACAGCGUGGACACUAUGAUAGAGUAAUUGCUCUUUCUAUAGUAAUUGCAGCUCUAUCCUAUAGAAAUACUUAUACACCAGUGGAUGACAAUGCCCGUACAAGAAUGACUAGAGCAUUAUAUGUAAUUGUAAAAUCACAGAACCAAUUUAACCUCAAAAGCGUAUGGAAAGGGCUAAAUGAAUGACAGUUAGAGAGACAGAGAAAGAGAGAGAGAGAGAGGGCGCCAGGCGCGGUGGCUCACUCCUGUAAUCCCAGCACUUUGGGAGGCUGAGGCGGGCGGGUCACGAGGUCAGGAGACCGAGACCACCCUGGCCAACAUGGUGAAACCCGGUCUCUACUAAAAAUAUAAAACUUAACUGGGCGUGGUGGCCCAUGCCUAUAAUCCCAGCUACUCGGGGGGCUGAGGCAGGAGAAUUGCUUGAACCAGAGGGUCGGAGGUUGCAGUGAGGCGAGAUCGCGCCAGGGAACUCCAGCUAUGCAACAGAGGGAGACCCGGUCUCAAAAAAAAAAAAAAAAAAAAAGGUGAGAGAGAGUUCCCAGAAUCCUAGUGGACCUUGAUUUACUUCCUCUUGUCCUACGCGAGACAAGGAGGAGUGGAGGGUAAAGUUGGUCUCGCUCUGCCUUUCCAUGAAACCAUGUGCUCGAUAGAAGAAAGUUGCCAGCGGUUUAAGCAUUUUUAAAAUGCAAGAAAUAGCUCUAUAGAACAGGCUCGAACCACCCACCUCCAGGCUUGGAAGCAAGCAUACCAACCGACUGAGACACACAGUCAACUCUCGUUCUGGUAUCACCAGACCAAGGGACGAUCCAACGUUCGGCGGAGCUACUGCCUUUUGUAGAACAAUUGUGCAGGCUCCAAAGCCUCGGAAAACCUGAGAGGCGCAUCUUGCUGGCUACGGUUGAAACCCGUGCAUUGGGUGAUUCCGAAGCUGGAAGGGCAGCGGAAUGGCCUUCGCCCCGUCCUGACCCUCGCAGGCGUCAGACCCAGCAUCCCAGGAAACGCCCGGGUCCGCGACUCCCUGGGCCUGAGCCGCGUGGGUCCCAGGGGAAGCAAGCAGAACGCCCCGUGGGCUCUAGUGAUGGCUCUUCCCCUUCUUGGCUCCGCCUUCACCCGAUUCUCUACUGCUGCUUGCGCUCCCCUCGCUCACCUCGGCCUCGGUCGGUGGGGCGGGAGAGAGGAGGGGUGAAAAGCAGAAAUACGGAGAGGCCCCACAGAAGCAGAGGAGGUGCGGACCAGGACAGAGAGACCUCCCGAGAGAGGCUGGUGCAGGGAGGCCCAGGCUGGAGUGGAGGAGAUGAGAAUUGUUCUCAUCACGUAUGAAGAUUGGGAGGAAGGGAGGGAAAAGCAGAGCGGGCAUGAAAGAAAAGCGCGAGUCCCCUGUGGCUGUCUGGGAACGAAUCCGCCUAAUAAUCGAAAUCCAUUGACGUCAAAAGGGCUAGAGCAAGCUCCGCCAUCGCGGCUUAGCCUGUGGCUCGCCGUGAUCGUAUAGUGGUUAGUACUCUGCGUUGUGGCCGCAGCAACCUCGGUUCGAAUCCGAGUCACGGCAAUGUCGUUAGUCUAGGCUGUCAGCUCUUCCCUUUUGCUCCCGCAACCAGGCGCGUCAGGGGAAGGAAAAGAGACCUCACACCUUACUAACUUGGCGAGGAAUCCAAGGGAAACCCUGGACGUGCUCCCUCCUGUUUCUGAGCCUCACGCAGCAAAUAACCCAGUCGGCCCUGUUGGUGGCUUACACGAAGGCAAUGGUGUGCUCAGAACCGUUCUUCCGGUCACUGGGGGCACGUCGGGGUAAGGAAAAGAGACCUCACAGCUCACUAACCUGGGGAGGAGUCCAAGGGAAACUCUGGACGUGCACCGUCCUGUCUCUGAGCCUCACAGAGCAAAUAACCCAGUCAGCCCUGUUGGUGGUGGCUUACACGAAGGCAAUGGUGUGCUCAGAACCUGUUUUCCAGUCACUGGGGCUGUUACACACGAAACGACAAGAAGCUUUUAAUGACUUUAAACUCCAAACUCUUUGUUGUGGCCUACAAUGGCUUGUCUCUGUGCCCGUCACCAAGUUUGUAUGCCAACAGCAAAGUGUGAGGAAAGGCAAUCUGGUGCCAGGGGUCUUUCCACCUCCACUCUGCCACGUAGGAAUGGGCCUUGGGCCUGGAGCACUUCCUUCCUGAGAGAUAAGGAGUCAUCACAGCCUGUGCUGGACUCACCUCCUUGUGUGGGAGUAUCUUUCCCCCGAUCAGACUUGGUGUGUACCCCUUUGUUCCACUUAAGCAUGUGCAUCAACUGGCACCUGGCCAGCUGCUGUAUCUGCCCCCCACUGAGGGGAGGAAGCGGGGGUCCUUUCUUCUGCUUCUCAAGAGGCUGUGUGUGCAGGCCAAAUGGAGGGACCUGCUGGCCAUGGGGGACCAACGCCCAAGACUGAAGCGGAGCCCACACCCCGCUCUGUCUCCUCUCUGUAUGAAUAAUGUGUUGUUCUCCCGUCCAGUCUCUGACUGCCUUGUAUUUCCUUGGCGACUCUGAUACCAAGAGGCUAGGGCCAGAAGUGUUCAGACUCCUGCUGAUAGGAAACCGAUGCCACUUGCUGGACAAGAUGAACGAAAAUUCUUCUUGUAUAGGUCUUUUUGUGGACACGUGCAUUCAUUUCCCUUGAGGAAUACCAAGUACUGGAAUUGUUGGAUCAUAGGAUCGGCCCUUUCUUCAAAUAAGAGCAGUUGGAACAACAAAAGCUGUUCAGUUGUACCCUUGGAAUCCACGGAAAUCCUGGGUAGGGAAGCUCCAGUACCACCAACUGGAAAGACUGGGAAUGCCUAGUAGCUGGUACUGGCCAUUGUCGUAGGCUUUGUCCACUUUGACAAACUGAAGACGGGGACUCGACUCACCUUCGCCAGCCACAGGAGGACCUCCAGACGAGGACCGGACUCGCCGCCUUUCUUUCCCGUCAGAAAGGGAUCCCUUGCGGACAAGACCGAAGUGAGUAGCUGGUUUCCCCUACGUGUCCUUCCGGGGCUGGGUGUCUCGGGAGCUCAGGCUGACAGGAGACCUAACUACCGGCGACUGAGACCAGCAGGAGCCUGGAGGGGCGCGCACCAGGGUGGAGGUUUGGUGCCGGGGGUUGAGAACAACAGUCAAACCCUCUUCUUCCCUGUACCGCGCACCUGCCCCCUGGGAUGCCGAACGAAGUGGCCCCUAAGGCUUCUCUGCAGGUCCAACCGAAACAGGCCUGAAGUUCCAGGAUGGGCGAGAGGAUCCUCUUUGAGCGAAACCAGCCUUCUGCCUGGCUGGCCCUGGUCAACACACUCGGAAGAGGCCGAUUUGGAGGACAGAACGGAAGAAAAGACCUAAAGUAGAUGAUCCUCAUCCAAUCACUUAAAGGCCUGAAUAGAACCAAAAGUCUGACCUGCCCAUGAGUAAGAGAGAGCUCCUUCUGCCUGAUUGCUUCAGCUGAGAUAUCAGCCUUUUCCUGCCUUUGGAAUUGAACUGCAACACUGGCUCUUCCUGGGCCUCAAGCCUGCCAGCUUUUGAACUGUAAUCACACCAUCAUCUCUCCUGGUUCUCAGGCCUUUGGACUCAAAUCAGAAACACACCAUGGGCUCUCCUGUGUCUCAAGCUUGCCAACUGUGAUCUUGAGACUUCUCAGCCUCCAUAAUCACAUGAGUCAAUUGUUGGUUCUGUUUCUCUGGAGAACCCUAAUCCAUCACUUUACAUAUUUCUUCCAUUACACAUAUUGUUUCCCAGCAUAUUAAAUAAUUUACUGAUUAUA